GCCCUUGUGGUGUAGUAGUGAGCACGCUCGGCGCGUAUUCGAAAGGUCCGUGGUUCGAAUCCCGGUGGGGGCA
RNAcentral lists this transfer RNA (73 nucleotides) under Stegodyphus mimosarum. It matches the Rfam family "tRNA". Rfam says of the family: Transfer RNA (tRNA) molecules are approximately 80 nucleotides in length. Their secondary structure includes four short double-helical elements and three loops (D, anti-codon, and T loops). The record is from Rfam by way of RNAcentral. Lineage: Eukaryota; Metazoa; Arthropoda; Arachnida; Araneae; Eresidae.